GGCUAUUUUUGUGAACCCUGCAAUGAGGAA
RNAcentral lists this non-coding RNA (30 nucleotides) under Mus musculus (house mouse). The record is from RNAcentral. Lineage: Eukaryota; Metazoa; Chordata; Mammalia; Rodentia; Muridae.